Molecule: ribosomal RNA, 431 nt
Filed under: uncultured bacterium
Lineage: Bacteria
Description: partial 16S ribosomal RNA
Rfam family: Bacterial small subunit ribosomal RNA
Source: RNAcentral
AACGAACGCUGGCGGCAGGCUUAACACAUGCAAGUCGAGCGCCCCGCAAGGGGAGCGGCAGACGGGUGAGUAACGCGUGGGAACGUACCUUUUGGUUCGGAACAACUCCGGGAAACUGGAGCUAAUACCGGAUAAGCCCUAACGGGGAAAGAUUUAUCGCCGAAAGAUCGGCCCGCGUCUGAUUAGCUAGUUGGUGAGGUAACGGCUCACCAAGGCGACGAUCAGUAGCUGGUCUGAGAGGAUGAUCAGCCACACUGGGACUGAGACACGGCCCAGACUCCUACGGGAGGCAGCAGUGGGGAAUAUUGGACAAUGGGCGCAAGCCUGACCCAGCCAUGCCGCGUGAGUGAUGAAGGCCUUAGGGUUGUAAAGCUCUUUUGUCCGGGAAGAUAAUGACUGUACCGGAAGAAUAAGCCCCGGCUAACUUCGUG